UACGUAGGGUCCGAGCGUUGUCCGGAAUUAUUGGGCGUAAAGGGCUCGUAGGCGGUCUGUUGCGUCGGGAGUGAAAACUUACAGCUUAACUGUGAGCGUGCUUUCGAUACGGGCAGACUUGAGGCAUUCAGGGGAGAACGGAAUUCCCGGUGUAGCGGUGAAAUGUGUAGAGAUCGGGAGGAACACCGGUGGCGAAGGCGGCCUUCUGGACGGUGACUGACGCUGAGGUACGAAGGCAUGGGUAUCGAUUGGG
This 253-nucleotide ribosomal RNA is filed under the name uncultured bacterium. RNAcentral describes it as "partial 16S ribosomal RNA". It matches the Rfam family "Bacterial small subunit ribosomal RNA", at positions 524 to 776 of the family's 1533-position model. The record is from RNAcentral.